AACGGGUGAGUAACACGUAAGCAACCUGCCUUUAAGACGAGAAUAACAAUUGGAAACAGUUGCUAAGGCUGGAUAGGAAAUAAAAAGGAAUCUUUUUAUUUUUAAAAGACCUUUUUCGGAAGGUAUGCUUAAAGAGGGGCUUGCGUCACAUUAGUUAGUUGGUAGGGUAAAGGCCUACCAAGACGAUGAUGUGUAGCUGGACUGAGAGGUUGAACAGCCACAUUGGGACUGAGACACGGCCCAAACUCCUACGGGAGGCAGCAGUAGGGAAUUUUCGGCAAUGGAGGAAACUCUGACCGAGCAACGCCGCGUGAACGACGAAGUACUUCGGUAUGUAAAGUUCUUUUAUUGAAGAAGAAACAAUAGUGGAAAAACUAUCUUGACGUUAUUCAAUGAAUAAGCCCCGGCUAACUAUGUGCCAGCAGCCGCGGUAAUACAUAGGGGGCGAGCGUUAUCCGGAAUUAUUGGGCGUAAAGGGUGCGUAGGCGGUUUAAUAAGUCUCUAGUUUAAUUUCAACGCUUAACGUUGUCCUGCUAGAGAAACUGUUUAACUAGAGUGAGAUAGAGGUAAGCGGAAUUCCAUGUGUAGCGGUAAAAUGUGUAAAUAUAUGGAGGAACACCAGAGGCGUAGGCGGCUUACUGGGUCUUUACUGACGCUGAUGCACGAAAGCGUGGGGAGCAAACAGGAUUAGAUACCCUGGUAGUCCACGCCGUAAACUAUGAGUACUAAGUGUCGGGGUUAAACUCGGUACUGAAGUUAACACAUUAAGUACUCCGCCUGAGUAGUACGUACGCAAGUAUGAAACUUAAAGGAAUUGACGGGAUCCCGCACAAGCGGUGGAUCAUGUUGUUUAAUUCGAAGAUACACGAAAAACCUUACCAGGUCUUGACAUACUCUGCAAAGCUAUAGAAAUAUAGUGGAGGUUAUCAGGGAUACAGGUGGUGCAUGGUUGUCGUCAGCUCGUGUCGUGAGNUGUUAGGUUAAGUUCUAAAACGAGCGCAACCCCUGUCGUUAAUUGCCAGCACGUUAUGGUGGGGACUUUAGCGAGACUGCCAAUGAAAAAUUGGAGGAAGGUGGGGAUUACGUCAAAUCAUCAUGCCCCUUAUGAUCUGGGCUACAAACGUGAUACAAUGGCUAUUACAAAGAGUAGCUGAAACGCGAGUUUUCGGCAAAUCUCAAAAAAAUAGUCUCAGUUCGGAUUGAAGUCUGCAACUCGACUUCAUGAAGUUGGAAUCGCUAGUAAUCGCGAAUCAGCAUGUCGCGGUGAAUACGUUCUCGGGGUUUGUACACACCGCCCGUCAAACCACGAAAGUGGACAAUACCCGAAAGCGACAGCCUAACUGCGUAAGCAGAGGGAAUCGUCUAAGGUAGGGUCGAUGAUUGGGGUUAAGUCGUAACAAGGUAUCCCUACCGGAAGGUGGGGAUGGAUCACCUCCUUUCU
Molecule: ribosomal RNA, 1441 nt
Filed under: Coconut lethal yellowing phytoplasma
Lineage: Bacteria; Bacillati; Mycoplasmatota; Mollicutes; Acholeplasmatales; Acholeplasmataceae
Description: 16S ribosomal RNA
Rfam family: Bacterial small subunit ribosomal RNA
Source: RNAcentral